This 497-nucleotide ribosomal RNA is filed under the name uncultured bacterium. RNAcentral describes it as "partial 16S ribosomal RNA". It matches the Rfam family "Bacterial small subunit ribosomal RNA", at positions 28 to 507 of the family's 1533-position model. The record is from RNAcentral.
GAUGAACGCUGGCGGCGUGCCUAAUACAUGCAAGUCGAGCGAACAUACGAGGAUCUUGCUCCUCUGACGUUAGCGGCGGACGGGUGAGUAACACGUGGAUAACCUACCUAUAAGACUUGGAUAACUUCGGGAAACCGGAGCUAAUACCGGAUAAUAUAUUGAACCGCAUGGUUCAUUAGUGAAAGACGGUUUUGCUGUCACUUAUAGAUGGAUCCGCGCCGCAUUAGCUAGUUGGUAAGGUAACGGCUUACCAAGGCAACGAUGCGUAGCCGACCUGAGAGGGUGAUCGGCCACACAGGAACUGAGACACGGUCGAGACUCCUACGGGAGGCAGCAGUAGGGAAUCUGCCGCAAUGGGCGAAAGCCUGACGGAGCAACGCCGCGUGAGUGAUGAAGGUCUUCGGAUCGUAAAACUCUGUUAUUAGGGAAGAACAAAUGUGGAAGUAACUAUGCACGUCUUGACGGUACCUAAUCAGAAAGCCACGGCUAAAUACGUG